This 1425-nucleotide ribosomal RNA is filed under the name uncultured organism. RNAcentral's name for it is "SSU rRNA". It matches the Rfam family "Bacterial small subunit ribosomal RNA". The record is from RNAcentral.
UACAGGCUUAACACAUGCAAGUCGAGGGGUAGCAUGGUCUUAGCUUGCUAAGGCCGAUGGCGACCGGCGCACGGGUGAGUAACACGUAUCCAACCUGCCGUCUACUCUUGGACAGCCUUCUGAAAGGAAGAUUAAUACAAGAUGGCAUCAUGAGUCCGCAUGUUCACAUGAUUAAAGGUAUUCCGGUAGACGAUGGGGAUGCGUUCCAUUAGAUAGUAGGCGGGGUAACGGCCCACCUAGUCUUCGAUGGAUAGGGGUUCUGAGAGGAAGGUCCCCCACAUUGGAACUGAGACACGGUCCAAACUCCUACGGGAGGCAGCAGUGAGGAAUAUUGGUCAAUGGGCGAGAGCCUGAACCAGCCAAGUAGCGUGAAGGAUGACUGCCCUAUGGGUUGUAAACUUCUUUUAUAAAGGAAUAAAGUCGGGUAUGGAUACCCGUUUGCAUGUACUUUAUGAAUAAGGAUCGGCUAACUCCGUGCCAGCAGCCGCGGUAAUACGGAGGAUCCGAGCGUUAUCCGGAUUUAUUGGGUUUAAAGGGAGCGUAGAUGGAUGUUUAAGUCAGUUGUGAAAGUUUGCGGCUCAACCGUAAAAUUGCAGUUGAUACUGGAUAUCUUGAGUGCAGUUGAGGCAGGCGGAAUUCGUGGUGUAGCGGUGAAAUGCUUAGAUAUCACGAAGAACUCCGAUUGCGAAGGCAGCCUGCUAAGCUGCAACUGACAUUGAGGCUCGAAAGUGUGGGUAUCAAACAGGAUUAGAUACCCUGGUAGUCCACACGGUAAACGAUGAAUACUCGCUGUUUGCGAUAUACGGCAAGCGGCCAAGCGAAAGCGUUAAGUAUUCCACCUGGGGAGUACGCCGGCAACGGUGAAACUCAAAGGAAUUGACGGGGGCCCGCACAAGCGGAGGAACAUGUGGUUUAAUUCGAUGAUACGCGAGGAACCUUACCCGGGCUUAAAUUGCAGAUGAAUUACGGUGAAAGCCGUAAGCCGCAAGGCAUCUGUGAAGGUGCUGCAUGGUUGUCGUCAGCUCGUGCCGUGAGGUGUCGGCUUAAGUGCCAUAACGAGCGCAACCCUUGUUGUCAGUUACUAACAGGUUCCGCUGAGGACUCUGACAAGACUGCCAUCGUAAGAUGUGAGGAAGGUGGGGAUGACGUCAAAUCAGCACGGCCCUUACGUCCGGGGCUACACACGUGUUACAAUGGGGGGUACAGAGGGCCGCUACCACGCGAGUGGAUGCCAAUCCCCAAAACCUCUCUCAGUUCGGACUGGAGUCUGCAACCCGACUCCACGAAGCUGGAUUCGCUAGUAAUCGCGCAUCAGCCACGGCGCGGUGAAUACGUUCCCGGGCCUUGUACACACCGCCCGUCAAGCCAUGGGAGCCGGGGGUACCUGAAGUGCGUAACCGCGAGGAGCGCCCUAGGGUAAAACCG